This 2199-nucleotide ribosomal RNA is filed under the name Escherichia coli. RNAcentral's name for it is "bacterial LSU rRNA". It matches the Rfam family "Bacterial large subunit ribosomal RNA", at positions 1 to 2228 of the family's 2925-position model. The record is from RNAcentral. Lineage: Bacteria; Pseudomonadati; Pseudomonadota; Gammaproteobacteria; Enterobacterales; Enterobacteriaceae.
UUAAGCGACUAAGCGUACACGGUGGAUGCCCUGGCAGUCAGAGGCGAUGAAGGACGUGCUAAUCUGCGAUAAGCGUCGGUAAGGUGAUAUGAACCGUUAUAACCGGCGAUUUCCGAAUGGGGAAACCCAGUGUGUUUCGACACACUAUCAUUAACUGAAUCCAUAGGUUAAUGAGGCGAACCGGGGGAACUGAAACAUCUAAGUACCCCGAGGAAAAGAAAUCAACCGAGAUUCCCCCAGUAGCGGCGAGCGAACGGGGAGCAGCCCAGAGCCUGAAUCAGUGUGUGUGUUAGUGGAAGCGUCUGGAAAGGCGCGCGAUACAGGGUGACAGCCCCGUACACAAAAAUGCACAUGCUGUGAGCUCGAUGAGUAGGGCGGGACACGUGGUAUCCUGUCUGAAUAUGGGGGGACCAUCCUCCAAGGCUAAAUACUCCUGACUGACCGAUAGUGAACCAGUACCGUGAGGGAAAGGCGAAAAGAACCCCGGCGAGGGGAGUGAAAAAGAACCUGAAACCGUGUACGUACAAGCAGUGGGAGCACGCUUAGGCGUGUGACUGCGUACCUUUUGUAUAAUGGGUCAGCGACUUAUAUUCUGUAGCAAGGUUAACCGAAUAGGGGAGCCGAAGGGAAACCGAGUCUUAACUGGGCGUUAAGUUGCAGGGUAUAGACCCGAAACCCGGUGAUCUAGCCAUGGGCAGGUUGAAGGUUGGGUAACACUAACUGGAGGACCGAACCGACUAAUGUUGAAAAAUUAGCGGAUGACUUGUGGCUGGGGGUGAAAGGCCAAUCAAACCGGGAGAUAGCUGGUUCUCCCCGAAAGCUAUUUAGGUAGCGCCUCGUGAAUUCAUCUCCGGGGGUAGAGCACUGUUUCGGCAAGGGGGUCAUCCCGACUUACCAACCCGAUGCAAACUGCGAAUACCGGAGAAUGUUAUCACGGGAGACACACGGCGGGUGCUAACGUCCGUCGUGAAGAGGGAAACAACCCAGACCGCCAGCUAAGGUCCCAAAGUCAUGGUUAAGUGGGAAACGAUGUGGGAAGGCCCAGACAGCCAGGAUGUUGGCUUAGAAGCAGCCAUCAUUUAAAGAAAGCGUAAUAGCUCACUGGUCGAGUCGGCCUGCGCGGAAGAUGUAACGGGGCUAAACCAUGCACCGAAGCUGCGGCAGCGACACUAUGUGUUGUUGGGUAGGGGAGCGUUCUGUAAGCCUGUGAAGGUGUACUGUGAGGUAUGCUGGAGGUAUCAGAAGUGCGAAUGCUGACAUAAGUAACGAUAAAGCGGGUGAAAAGCCCGCUCGCCGGAAGACCAAGGGUUCCUGUCCAACGUUAAUCGGGGCAGGGUGAGUCGACCCCUAAGGCGAGGCCGAAAGGCGUAGUCGAUGGGAAACAGGUUAAUAUUCCUGUACUUGGUGUUACUGCGAAGGGGGGACGGAGAAGGCUAUGUUGGCCGGGCGACGGUUGUCCCGGUUUAAGCGUGUAGGCUGGUUUUCCAGGCAAAUCCGGAAAAUCAAGGCUGAGGCGUGAUGACGAGGCACUACGGUGCUGAAGCAACAAAUGCCCUGCUUCCAGGAAAAGCCUCUAAGCAUCAGGUAACAUCAAAUCGUACCCCAAACCGACACAGGUGGUCAGGUAGAGAAUACCAAGGCGCUUGAGAGAACUCGGGUGAAGGAACUAGGCAAAAUGGUGCCGUAACUUCGGGAGAAGGCACGCUGAUAUGUAGGUGAAGUCCCUCGCGGAUGGAGCUGAAAUCAGUCGAAGAUACCAGCUGGCUGCAACUGUUUAUUAAAAACACAGCACUGUGCAAACACGAAAGUGGACGUAUACGGUGUGACGCCUGCCCGGUGCCGGAAGGUUAAUUGAUGGGGUCAGCGCAAGCGAAGCUCUUGAUCGAAGCCCCGGUAAACGGCGGCCGUAACUAUAACGGUCCUAAGGUAGCGAAAUUCCUUGUCGGGUAAGUUCCGACCUGCACGAAUGGCGUAAUGAUGGCCAGGCUGUCUCCACCCGAGACUCAGUGAAAUUGAACUCGCUGUGAAGAUGCAGUGUACCCGCGGCAAGACGGAAAGACCCCGUGAACCUUUACUAUAGCUUGACACUGAACAUUGAGCCUUGAUGUGUAGGAUAGGUGGGAGGCUUUGAAGUGUGGACGCCAGUCUGCAUGGAGCCGACCUUGAAAUACCACCCUUUAAUGUUUGAUGUUCUAACGU